CUUGGCAUCCGGCCGGUCCGCCAGGAGCCGGUUGCCGACCGCAUGCAUCAGGUGGGUCUUGCCGAGGCCGACGCCGCCAUA
Molecule: antisense RNA, 81 nt
Filed under: Burkholderiales bacterium 8X
Lineage: Bacteria; Pseudomonadati; Pseudomonadota; Betaproteobacteria; Burkholderiales
Description: AsdA
Rfam family: antisense RNA of dnaA mRNA
Source: RNAcentral